AAGUAAACUUGAAUUGCUUUUGGAGAGCAGUAAUUACUAUGUUUAUGCAAAUUUGAAUCACUUGUUAAGACUCAAAAGCAGCAAUAAGUAUAUCUAAAGUCUCUGAUUAUGAUAUAUAAAUGGAUAGUGUAAUACACUAUUCCUAUCUUUGAUAAUACAAAAGGCAAAGGGAAAUCUAAAAGGAAAGGUUCAGCAAUCAUCUGAUUGUAUAUCUUCCAAUGGGUUUGUGAUUA
Molecule: unclassified non-coding RNA, 233 nt
Filed under: Hevea brasiliensis (rubber tree)
Lineage: Eukaryota; Viridiplantae; Streptophyta; Magnoliopsida; Malpighiales; Euphorbiaceae
Source: RNAcentral